UGGCGGACCGGCGCACGGGUGAGUAACGCGUAUGCAACUUACCUAUCAGAGGGGGAGUAGCCGGCGAAAGUCGGAUUAAUACCCCAUGAAACAGGGGUCCCGCAUGGGAAUAUUUGUUAAAGAUUCAUCGCUGAUAGAUAGGCAUGCGUUCCAUUAGGCAGUUGGCGGGGUAACGGCCCACCAAACCGACGAUGGAUAGGGGUUCUGAGAGGAAGGUCCCCCACAUUGGAACUGAGACACGGUCCAA
RNAcentral lists this ribosomal RNA (247 nucleotides) under uncultured bacterium. Its description in RNAcentral is "partial 16S ribosomal RNA". It matches the Rfam family "Bacterial small subunit ribosomal RNA", at positions 88 to 334 of the family's 1533-position model. The record is from RNAcentral.